UACGAAGGGUGCAAACGUUGCUCGGAAUUAUUGGGCGUAAAGCGCACGUAGGCGGAUUGUUAAGUCGGGGGUGAAAUCCUGGAGCUCAACUCCAGAACUGCCUUCGAUACUGGCGAUCUUGAGUCCGGGAGAGGUGAGUGGAACUCCGAGUGUAGAGGUGAAAUUCGUAGAUAUUCGGAAGAACACCAGUGGCGAAGGCGGCUCACUGGCCCGGUACUGACGCUGAGGUGCGAAAGCGUGGGGAGCAAACAGG
RNAcentral lists this ribosomal RNA (253 nucleotides) under uncultured bacterium. RNAcentral describes it as "partial 16S ribosomal RNA". It matches the Rfam family "Bacterial small subunit ribosomal RNA", at positions 524 to 776 of the family's 1533-position model. The record is from RNAcentral.